RNA transcript from Gymnodraco acuticeps, 5721 nucleotides. It is a transcript of the gene named zinc finger DHHC-type palmitoyltransferase 5b, with no coding region annotated. The record is from RefSeq and is a predicted model, not a curated record. Lineage: Eukaryota; Metazoa; Chordata; Actinopteri; Perciformes; Bathydraconidae. The transcript has 12 exons.
GCUGUUAAUCCCACCUGAGGGACGACGGACUACUUCCGGGAUUCCGAUGUCGGCCUAGCCAGCGAGCUAACUAGUUUGCUAGCGGCUAAACUCAAGGAGGACCGUAACGACCCACACCCCACAGGCACGACAGCUCACCUGUUCGGCAUUAGGGGCAUCUAACAGCCGACCCACAGAGCCAGUCGGUAAAAGACAACAGAAGGAUAGCGGGAAAACGGGGCUAAAAUGCAUCCGACUACAUAACACCACUGCUGCACAUGACUUUGUUUAAGAAAUGCAAAAUGGGAAAGGAGGUCUAUCUGCAGAAAACUUGCAGGUGGGAGAUGUCCUUUCACCCAGAACCGGCCAAGUACGAUGACGCUUUGAUGACAUACAAAGGACUUCUUUUUGGAAUGAGUUGAUUUCGUCCUCAUAACAACACAAAGACUGGAGGCAAGGGUCUCGCAAGAACUAAGGGUCUCUGGCUGAGCGACUGUACUUCGGAAAGUCAAAGAUAGACACAUUUUAAAAACAUUUUUUAUCAGCUUUUUAAAUAUAUUUUGCAGCUGGACGUUUUUAAAAAAAAAAAAAAACUUUUUAUUUGUUGUUAAGCAGCUUUCCCGCAACUGGUUUAGUUGUUUUUCCCUGCUGACUUAGUUUGAGCGCUGGAACUGUCCCUUCUGCCGCCAUCCUCUUUCUUCCACCCACCCAGUGCCUAAAUAAGCCCUCUCGGGACAAUCGCAGAAGUCAUCAGCAGCUGCUGCGCUCAAUCCUCUGCCUGUUCUCCUCUAUGUGCUUCUGCUCUCGGCCUGCUGGCUAUCCACCCACUACCUCUUUAUUUUCUGCUCUUUUGUUUGUAUAUUCAUUUUCUCUGAGACGCAUAAUCAGAACCUAAGCACAGUUGGCGAGCAUUAAUGUAAAAGCUAAGUUUCACGAGUCAACUGAAACCUAGUUUUCCUGUGUGCGAGUGUCUCUGCCUUGGUGUUCAAGCACUGAAGUUUAACGGUUACACUUGUGCCAGAAAGCGGACCGAUUAGAUUUAUUUAUAUCGUCGCACCAAGUACAGUUACAUUAAAGCCAUACACAAAUAUUUAUGAAUUACCUACACAUAUUUUUGUAACGCAUUGCUCUUGUAUAGCUUUCUUUUUAUAAGCCUCUAUUAAGAUUAUGCACACAUUCAAUAUUUACAACAAGCUGUAUAUUACUGUAUAAAAAGAAUCUCUGAUUAUAUAAGUGCCAGAAGACUGUCUGGAUACAGAGAAUCCUUCAUGUUUCCACUCAGUUGCUGCUUUGCAUAGUGUUUUCUUUUCCAGUCUGUAGUCAUGGCCCCUCCCACCAAACAAACUCCAUAUUCGCCAUUUUGACCUGUAAAGCAGCCUUGACAGUAGGUAGUCUUUAGAAAUCUACCUCUCUCUCUCUCUCUCUGUCUUCGUUCCGUCUCACUCUGAUGCCUGGGUUCAGUGGUGGGGGGGUUGGGGGAGGAGUAGGUGUCCCUGCUUCUGCUCCUCCCCGUCCAUUUCGUCCCAGCCGAUAUGUCCCGGUGUCCGCAGCCACCACGUUCCUCGUCGGAUCCACCACCCUCUUCUUCUGCUUCACGUGCCCAUGGUUGUCAGAGUAUAUCUCCUUUGUCAUUCCCAUCUACGUUGCGGUGAUCUUCCUCUUCACCCUCGCCAACUUCUGUAUGGCAACUUUCAUGGACCCUGGAGUCUUCCCCAGAGCCGAAGAGGAUGAGGACAAAGAAGAUGAUUUCCGUGCGCCGCUCUAUAAGACGGUGGAGAUCAAAGGGAUCCAGGUGCGCAUGAAGUGGUGCUCGACCUGUCGCUUCUACCGCCCGCCGCGCUGCUCGCACUGCUCAGUCUGCGACAACUGUGUAGAGGAUUUUGACCACCACUGUCCCUGGGUGAACAACUGCAUUGGUCGGAGGAAUUAUCGCUAUUUCUUCCUCUUCCUGAUAUCACUUACCACCCACAUCAUUAACGUGUUUGGCUUUGGCUUGGUUUAUGUCCUGCACCACCGCCAUCAGCUGGACACGCCACACGCUGCUGUAACUAUGGCUGUAAUGUGUGUGGCUGGUCUGUUUUUUGUCCCAGUCACGGGCCUCACUGGGUUUCACAUGGUGCUGGUUUCUCGCGGCAGGACCACAAAUGAACAGGUGACGGGGAAGUUUCGGGGAGGUGUUAACCCUUUCACCAACGGCUGCACAAGGAAUAUUUCUCAUGUGCUCUGCAGCUCCCAGGCCCCCAGAUACAUGGGCCGGCAGCGGAGCCCUCUCACGAUGGACGUGCAGCCGCCGUUCCUCAGACCGGCACUCACUGAGGCUCAGCUGGAGGCCAAGGUCCUGGACAACGGCAUUCAGAAUGACCGACACAGCACCAGGUCCAAAAGCAGUCUAGAUCAGAUAGAGAGCCAGUCAGCUGAUGCAGAGCCUCCUCCUCCUCCACCUCCUCCAAAGCCAGAGCUUCGGUACCCUGGUCUGCCCCGUGCUGACACUGAGGAGAGCAGCUUGUUGACUGAAGCUCCUCCCACACCGUCAAUGUUCAAGUACCGACCAGCCUUCAACAGCCCAGGAAGGAAUCACACUGCACUCACACACCUCAACAAGGUACAUACACCUGCACAGAUGAUCCGUGGGGAGAGUCUUGACUCUCCGUCUCCCACCAUCCUCCAGUCCAGCCGUCAGUCUAGCUACCGCUCGGAGCCGAGCAGCCUGGAUGGGACCACAGUGGUGGGGGGAGGUAUGGGGGCGCGCAGGGGGGGAGGGGAAAGGGGUGAGGGCCCCGGAGGCCCUGGCGGGACUGCUGGGAUGAUGUCGGGGGGCAUGUCAGGCUACUCCCUGACUGGACGCUCCUACACCUCCUACCCGUCCUCUCUGGUUCUGUCCGCUGGCGGCUCUCGCUCCUCCAGCCUGCGCUCAGCGCAAACGGCACAUAACCCGUUGACCACGCUCCAAUCAGAGGGCACCACAGACACCAGCUACAAAAGCCUGGCCAAUCAGACGCCUCGGAAUGGCAGCCUGUCCUAUGACAGCCUCCUGACGCCAUCCGAGAGCCCAGAGUUUGAGUCCGCUGUUCAUGAGCUGUCGCCGCAGAAGCCUCGUGCUCCGUUUCCCUCGGCAACUGUAACCGGCCAGCAUGACAGGGUGUCGCCCAGCAGCCCACUGCAGGGCUACACGUCGCCCUUCCUCUCAGCUCAGAUCGCCCAGCAGAGGGAGGGGCAGCUCCUCCAGGGCUCUGCCACUUUCUCCUCCCCCCACAGGGCUUACCUGCGUGCCGUCAGCCCGCCCCCCCACUCCCCCUCUGGGCUUCCUGAGGUCCAGCACCUGCUCCAACAUAACCAGGACUCUUCCCGAGCCCCUCGUCACCUUUCCUCCUUAUCCUCUUCCCCUCGCUCAUUCGAGCCCCCUAUCUCCCCGCCACCUCGCGGCCUCUCCCUUGGCAAGUCCCCGUCUUACAUAGCGGAGGUAGGGCCUCAGCACAAGCCUCGGCCUGCAGGUGGAGGCAUUGUGCUGGGGGGAGGAGGAGCUGGAGGAGGGCCACAGGCUCCACAGUGAGUAAUGAUCCGUCUCCAGACCCUUCAGCCUGCUACCUUUCCUCCUAAUUCUCUGCUUCUUUCUCCCUGGUUUGUCAGUCCUCCUCUUCCUCCCUGAUCUGUAUCCACCUCUCGUCCAGUCUUGGCCAAUCACACCACAUCGAAACCAGGUGGCGGAGUGAAGAAGGUGACAGGCGUCGGAGGGACCACUUAUGAGAUAUCGGUUUGAGGGACAGACAUCCUUUGCUGUCCAUCACAGGAGGGGAAACGUCCCCUGACUACUUCCACUUGUCUCUGACCUGAGCUGAACAUUAUUCACGACUGCAGGCUCCUGAAAAAAUACUUUUUUUCCAUGGCAAAAGACUAAAGGAGCAGACCUGUCUGGUACCCACUUUGUUAUAUUUGUAACGCCACUGGCCAAUCCGUUCAGAUUUGAACAAAGAGUAUAAGGGGACCCCUCAUUUUUCACAGGAUCAAGUCGUCUCCAUUCAGCCACUUUGUGAGCCAUAGACUGUACGAUCAAGGCUGGGUAUAAACGUCUGCAGAACACAGUUAUCCAAUGAUUUGCUGUUUCAUUUGGUAUAUUAGCACACAUUGACCACUGUGUCUGACCCUUCAGGAGAGGAUGGCCUUUAUCCAGUGGACCGCGAGGAUUUGUUGACCAAUAGAAACAUCUUCUUCACUUUCUGAAUGGACCACACAACCUGUUUAACCAUAAGUCAUGGAAAAAGAGUCCAACCUCUAAACACAGUAUCAUUUUAGUUUUAUAAAUCUUUUUUUUUAAAUAUUGUUUUAUAUAAAUGUGUAAAAUCUUGCAGAUUAUUAUUGGGUCAACUUGUCAGGUAUUGAAGAUGACUAUGUAUGAGGGUGGCAGAUGUACUGUGUGUAAUUAUUCAUGAAGCGAUUUCAAAUCAGUUGCCGGUUUGUAUUUAAUGGCUGCAUCAGCCGCUCAUGAGCUCUUGCUGGAAAUGUCAUCGUUCAAAGAGAAGGAUGGUCGUUUGGUGGACAGCUGAAAUGGCAAAUAAUUGAGCUUAAUUUUCUGAAAGCCACAAAGAAAUUCAGUAUCACGGUUUUCGGCACAAGCAUCUUUGUGGAAUGUACGCUUGUAAUGUUGAUUCUAAAGACAUUAUGCAAAAUCUGUUAGUAGCUUUAAGACCAUGGUAUGUCUUUUUGGUGUUUUUUUAUUUCAUUUUCUGUAAUGCUCGGUCAGUCUAUCAAGAUGCUUGCAGAACCUUUACCAGAUGGCCAGCGAGGGAAGGGCUUAUUUAUUUCAUCAGACCUUGUAGUUUUGGACACGAUUUCAAACCAAUCUACUCGUUUCAGUUUUUUUUAAUUUGAAUGGAUAGAAGAAUAUAUUAAUAUUUUUAUGAAAAAUCAUACUAUAAAUGAUAUUGUGAAUGCAAUAUGCCACUGAACAGAAAACAAAGAAGUGGGGACUGGUUUUCAAUUAGCGACGCUGUUCAUUGCUCUUGUUUUGCCUUGAGACCAUUCAUAGUGAAUCAUGCACAUUUACAUUUUUUCUAUUGGUUUGUAUUUUUUUACACUUUUCCGAGGAAAAAAUAUGUACCGCAGAUUUUUUGGAUUGACUUUAAAACGUCUGUAAAGGUACAGUUGAUUAUUUUUUAACCCAGAGCCAUGUUGAAGAGUAAUUACAGAAAGGGAGGUGUGCUUGAAUUUUAGGAUUGGGCAUUAGAGUUAUGGUUUUAGUUUUUCUAGCAGUAGAAUGUCAAAGCUGGCUGAAUGUGGCACGUAUUUGGGGGAAAGAACACGCUUGUAGCACACAAGUAUCAUUGUUUAACCCAAAUGGCCGUGAUUUUCAUCCCUACCAGUUCCCUAUGUCGUUGGUGUGCAUGUGACUUUUGUUUGUCGUGCUGAAUGCUUCUCUGGCGUGUGUACUUGUGAGAAUAUUCUCAAAAGCCCACCUGGUUGACGUGUGGGUGCUAACAAGAAAAGAAGCAUUAAUGGCACAGGAGAUUAAGAGAACCUGUGUUACUUUUCUUCCUGCUCUGGCCGAGGAUGAUGGCCACUGAACAAUUUGAAACUAUGUGAGAACAGUAUGUAUACUUCUGUGUGAGAUAAAAUAUCGUGGGCUGUGGCGAAUGGAACGAGUUUCACAAAUAUCUGUAACGAGUACAUUAAAGACAUUUCCAAAAUGGCCUUAUAAAGAAUUUUUAACAAGAUGUCUUCUCAGAAUAAAAAAGGUAAUAUUGAUAA